RNAcentral lists this ribosomal RNA (241 nucleotides) under uncultured bacterium. RNAcentral's name for it is "partial 16S ribosomal RNA". It matches the Rfam family "Bacterial small subunit ribosomal RNA", at positions 96 to 334 of the family's 1533-position model. The record is from RNAcentral.
CGGCGGACGGGUGAGUAACGCGUGGGUAACCUGCCUCAUACAGGGGGGAUAACAGUUGGAAACGACUGCUAAUACCGCAUAAGCCCACGGCCCGGCAUCGGGCUGCGGGAAAAGGAUUUAUUCGCUUCAGGAUGGACUCGCGUCCAAUUAGCUAGUUGGUGAGGUAACGGCCCACCAAGGCGACGAUUGGUAGCCGGACUGAGAGGUUGAACGGCCACAUUGGGACUGAGACACGGCCCAG